GGUGCUGCAUGGCUGUCGUCAGCUCGUGUCGUGAGAUGUUGGGUUAAGUCCCGCAACGAGCGCAACCCUUGUCAUUAGUUGCUACGAAAGGGCACUCUAAUGAGACUGCCGGUGACAAACCGGAGGAAGGUGGGGAUGACGUCAAGUCCUCAUGGCCCUUAUAGGUGGGGCUACACACGUCAUACAAUGGCCGGUACAAAGGGUCGCAAACCCGCGAGGGGGAGCCAAUCCAUCAAAGCCGGUCGUAGUCCGGAUCGCAGUCUGCAACUCGACUGCGUGAAGUCGGAAUCGCUAGUAAUCGUGGAUCAGCAUGUCACGGUGAAUACGUUCCCGGGUCUU
RNAcentral lists this ribosomal RNA (339 nucleotides) under uncultured Hydrogenophaga sp. Its description in RNAcentral is "bacterial SSU rRNA". It matches the Rfam family "Bacterial small subunit ribosomal RNA", at positions 1037 to 1382 of the family's 1533-position model. The record is from RNAcentral. Lineage: Bacteria; Pseudomonadati; Pseudomonadota; Betaproteobacteria; Burkholderiales; Comamonadaceae.